CUGCUGCCUCCCGUAGGAGUCUGGUCCGUGUCUCAGUACCAGUGGUGGGGGACCUUCCUCUCAGAACCCCUACGCAUCGUCGCCUCGGUGGGCCGUUACCCCGCCGACUAGCUAAUGCGACGCAUGGCCAUCCUAUGCCGGAGUCGCCUCCUUUGACCCCAAGAAGAUGUCUCCUAAAGGUGUUAUGCGGUAUUAGACGGAAUUUCUUCCGCUUAUCCCCCUGCAUAGGGCAGGUUCCAUACGUGUUACUCACCCGUGCGCCGG
Molecule: ribosomal RNA, 264 nt
Filed under: uncultured bacterium
Lineage: Bacteria
Description: partial 16S ribosomal RNA
Source: RNAcentral